AUUUAAAAUGUAUUUGUAAAUACUAAAGUAGUAUUAGUUAUGUUCUUGAAACUUAAAAAAUUUGGCGGUAUUUUAGUCUAUUCAGAGGAACUUGUUCUAUAAUCGAUAAUCCACGAUGGACCUUACUUAAAUUUGUUAAUCAGUUUAUAUACCGUCGUUAUUAGAAUAUUUUAUAAGAAUAAUAAUUUUCAUAAAAUUUUAUUAAAUUAUAUAUCAGAUCAAGGUGUAGCUUAUGUUUAAGUAGAAAUGAGUUACAAUAAAUUUAUUUAUACGGAAGUAGAUAUGAAAAAUUUACUGAAGGUGGAUUUGAUAGUAAAAUUAUAAAGAUUAAUAAUUUGAUUUUAGCUCUAAAAUAUGU
Molecule: ribosomal RNA, 358 nt
Filed under: Archiborborus quadrinotus
Lineage: Eukaryota; Metazoa; Arthropoda; Insecta; Diptera; Sphaeroceridae
Description: partial 12S ribosomal RNA
Source: RNAcentral